Molecule: long non-coding RNA, 577 nt
Organism: Neogale vison (American mink)
Lineage: Eukaryota; Metazoa; Chordata; Mammalia; Carnivora; Mustelidae
Exons: 4
Source: RefSeq, a predicted model, not a curated record
GAGAAAAAUCACUUUUCUUCCAACCACUAAAUUAUUGAUUCAGUGAGUCUCUCAGAGUGUGCUAACCAAAUGCAAUCCGUUAUCUAAACGAUGUCCUUGGACAGAUGAAUGGAUGAAGAAGCUAUGUAAAUGGAGAGUUAAAGUUUCAAUAUAAGACAGACCAUCUAAGAGAAACAUAAAGAUAAAUGUUUCCAGAUACCUGGAGUAAUAGUCAGAAUCUCCAAUGGAUGCACUGACGAGGAAGAAACAGAUGCUGUACAUUGACAUCCACAGGAUGACAGGGUUUUUCUCUAAAUUUCUGAAGAAUCACUCCCAAAAUGGAAGAAUAUUCAGAUGACAAACAGUGCAAAGUAACCUGGUUUAUCUAUUUCUGUCAUCACCAUAUUGCCUAUAGUAGCACUUGUGUUUUCUUCUGCCUAAGUUGCUGAUGAAUACAACACAAUCUCCUUUGCUUUCACACCUGUGAAGAAGUUCAUGUUCCUUCAUGGUUUUCUAGAAGAUUGCUGCUGGCAACAAUGAGAAAGAGACUUAAUAAAGAGGAAUCAGCUACCAAAGCCUCUCUCUCUCUCUCUCUCUC